RNAcentral lists this ribosomal RNA (465 nucleotides) under Vreelandella stevensii. RNAcentral's name for it is "partial 16S ribosomal RNA". It matches the Rfam family "Bacterial small subunit ribosomal RNA", at positions 338 to 795 of the family's 1533-position model. Lineage: Bacteria; Pseudomonadati; Pseudomonadota; Gammaproteobacteria; Oceanospirillales; Halomonadaceae. The record is from RNAcentral.
CCUACGGGUGGCAGCAGUGGGGAAUAUUGGACAAUGGGCGAAAGCCUGAUCCAGCCAUGCCGCGUGUGUGAAGAAGGCCUUCGGGUUGUAAAGCACUUUCAGUGGGGAAGAAAGCCUUGGGGCUAAUACCCUCGAGGAAGGACAUCACCCACAGAAGAAGCACCGGCUAACUCCGUGCCAGCAGCCGCGGUAAUACGGAGGGUGCGAGCGUUAAUCGGAAUUACUGGGCGUAAAGCGCGCGUAGGCGGUCUGAUAAGCCGGUUGUGAAAGCCCCGGGCUCAACCUGGGAACGGCAUCCGGAACUGUCAGGCUAGAGUGCAGGAGAGGAAGGUAGAAUUCCCGGUGUAGCAGUGAAAUGCGUAGAGAUCGGGAGGAAUACCAGUGGCGAAGGCGGCCUUCUGGACUGACACUGACGCCGAGGUGCGAAAGCGUGGGUAGCAAACAGGAUUAGAUACCCGUGUAGUC